UACGGGAGGCAGCAGUGGGGAAUAUUGCACAAUGGGCGCAAGCCUGAUGCAGCCAUGCCGCGUGUAUGAAAAAGGCCUUCGGGUUGUAAAGUACUUUCAGUCGUGAGGAAGGUGUUAAGGUUAAUAACCUUAGCAAUUGACGUUAGCGACAGAAGAAGCACCGGCUAACUCCGUGCCAGCAGCCGCGGUAAUACGGAGGGUGCGAGCGUUAAUCGGAAUUACUGGGCGUAAAGGGCACGCAGGCGGUUAAUUAAGUUGGAUGUGAAAUCCCCGGGCUUAACCUGGGAAUGGCAUUCAAGACUGGUUAGCUAGAGUCUUGUAGAGGGGGUAGAAUUCCGAUGUGUAGCGGUGAAAUGCGUAGAGAUGUGGAGGAAUACCGGUGGCGAAGGCGGCCCCUGGACAAAGGCUGACGCUCAUGUGCGAAAGCGUGGGGAGCAAACAGGGAUUAGAUACC
This 454-nucleotide ribosomal RNA is filed under the name uncultured bacterium. Its description in RNAcentral is "bacterial SSU rRNA". It matches the Rfam family "Bacterial small subunit ribosomal RNA", at positions 340 to 786 of the family's 1533-position model. The record is from RNAcentral.